AUUGAACGCUGGCGGCAGGCUUAACACAUGCAAGUCGAGCGGAAACGGAGGUAGCUUGCUACCAGACGUCGAGCGGCGAACGGGUGAGUAACGCGUAGGAAUCUACCUAGUAGAGGGGGAUAGCCCGGGGAAACUCGGAUUAAUACCGCAUACGCCCUAAGGGGGAAAGCAGGGGAUCUUCGGACCUUGCGCUAUUAGAUGAGCCUGCGUCGGAUUAGCUAGUUGGUAAGGUAAAGGCUUACCAAGGCGACGAUCCGUAGCUGGUCUGAGAGGAUGAUCAGCCACACUGGAACUGAGACACGGUCCAGACUCCUACGGGAGGCAGCAGUGGGGAAUAUUGGACAAUGGGGGCAACCCUGAUCCAGCCAUGCCGCGUGUGUGAAGAAGGCCUCGGUUGUAAG
Molecule: ribosomal RNA, 401 nt
Filed under: uncultured bacterium
Lineage: Bacteria
Description: bacterial SSU rRNA
Rfam family: Bacterial small subunit ribosomal RNA
Source: RNAcentral